Molecule: unclassified non-coding RNA, 138 nt
Filed under: soil metagenome
Description: partial internal transcribed spacer 1
Source: RNAcentral
AAGAGUUGCAAAACUCCCACAAACCAUCGCGAACGUUACCCAGACGUCGUUGCUUCGGCGGGCUCGCCCGCCGGGGGGACGCUACCAGACUCUUGCAGGUUAUUCGGCCUCUCUGAGUAUGAUUUUUUAAAUAAGUCA